RNAcentral lists this ribosomal RNA (404 nucleotides) under Fusobacteriota bacterium. RNAcentral's name for it is "Fusobacteria bacterium partial 16S ribosomal RNA". It matches the Rfam family "Bacterial small subunit ribosomal RNA", at positions 355 to 776 of the family's 1533-position model. The record is from RNAcentral. Lineage: Bacteria; Fusobacteriati; Fusobacteriota.
UGGGGAAUAUUGCACAAUGGAGGGAACUCUGAUGCAGAGACGCCGCGUGAGUGAUGAAGGAAUUCGUUUCGUAAAACUCUGUUCUAUGGGAAGAAAAGGACUGUACCAUAGGAGAAAGCUCCGGCUAAAUACGUGCCAGCAGCCGCGGUAAUACGUAUGGAGCGAGCGUUGUCCGGAAUUAUUGGGCGUAAAGGGUGCGCAGGCGGCUUUACAAGUUGGAUGUGAAAUAUUGUGGCUCAACCACAAACGUGCAUCCAAAACUGCAAAGCUUGAGUUAAGGAGAGGUAAGUGGAAUUCCUGGUGUAGCGGUGGAAUGCGUAGAUAUCAGGAGGAAUACCGGUGGCGAAGGCGACUUACUGGACUUAAACUGACGCUCAGGCACGAAAGCGUGGGGAGCAAACAGG